GAUGAACGCUGGCGGCGUGCCUAAUACAUGCGAGUCGAGCGAACGGACGAGAAGCUUGCUUUUCUGAUGUUAGCGGCGGACGGGUGAGUAACACGUGGAUAACCUACCUAUAAGACUGGGAUAACUUCGGGAAACCGGAGCUAAUACUGGAUAAUAUUUUGAACCGCAUGGUUCAAAAGUGAAAGACGGUCUUGCUGUCACUUAUAGAUGGAUCCGCGCUGCAUUAGCUAGUUGGUAAGGUAACGGCUUACCAAGGCAACGAUGCAUAGCCGACCUGAGAGGGUGAUCGGCCACACUGGAACUGAGACACGGUCCAGACUCCUACGGGAGGCAGCAGUAGGGAAUCUUCCGCAAUGGGCGAAAGCCUGACGGAGCAACGCCGCGUGAGUGAUGAAGGUCUUCGGAUCGUAAAACUCUGUUAUUAGGGAAGAACAUAUGUGUAAGUAACUGUGCACAUCUUGACGGUACCUAAUCAGAAAGCCACGGCUAACUACGUG
This 497-nucleotide ribosomal RNA is filed under the name uncultured bacterium. Its description in RNAcentral is "partial 16S ribosomal RNA". It matches the Rfam family "Bacterial small subunit ribosomal RNA", at positions 28 to 507 of the family's 1533-position model. The record is from RNAcentral.